Molecule: non-coding RNA, 71 nt
Organism: Phrynosoma platyrhinos (Desert horned lizard)
Lineage: Eukaryota; Metazoa; Chordata; Lepidosauria; Squamata; Phrynosomatidae
Source: the annotation of a GenBank genome assembly
GCCAGCAUGGCAUAAUGGUUUGAACGUUGGACUGUGACUCUAGAAAUCAGAGUUCAAUUCUCUACUUGGCC